CCCCUCUCAGGGUUGCACCUGGAGCGUUUCCAGUACUCUACCAGUCUCGACCAUGGGAGGGAGAGUCAAGUAGAGGCAUAUCCAUUCCAUUCCUAGCUUGGGUCAUGGCUAGCGUUUGGAAAGCAAUCUGCUACAAGU
Molecule: small nucleolar RNA, 138 nt
Organism: Tachyglossus aculeatus (Australian echidna)
Lineage: Eukaryota; Metazoa; Chordata; Mammalia; Monotremata; Tachyglossidae
Source: RefSeq, a predicted model, not a curated record